Long non-coding RNA from Andrographis paniculata, 3543 nucleotides. RefSeq lists it as uncharacterized. Lineage: Eukaryota; Viridiplantae; Streptophyta; Magnoliopsida; Lamiales; Acanthaceae. The record is from RefSeq and is a predicted model, not a curated record. The transcript is spliced from 2 exons.
UAUUUUACUAUUAAUUAUAAAUAGAAAAUAAAUUACAUUUACUCUUAUGUAACUUAUUUCAAAAUUCAGAAACCCUAAAUUAUUUUCACAACCGCCGUCUCUCUCAAACUGUACCAUUUCUUCCUCCUUUCAUCCUCCAAAUUUGGUCGAUCCGGCCGCUCCACCACCAUUGAUCCCUGCUUGCGCCGCCCGCUCCACCGCCUUCGACUCCUGUCCUGCGCCGCCGCCUUCCUCGCGAUUUUGAAGCUCCACCGCCGAUUCAUCUGCCUUACAUGUUCGAAUCACCGCCUUUUCUCUCCUGUGGUAACUGGUGCCAUCGAUUUUAGCCCACAAAAAUAUCAGUUCGAGAAAUAAAGAUUAAAAAAUUUCAAUCUGAUCUGAAACUGUGGUGUCAGCCCCAUUGUCACCUACAGAAGAAAAAAGUGAGGUUCGUAUUUUUAAAUUGUUAAAGAUAUAAGAUUUUGUUUUUGUAAUCAUAUGACUUGUGUAAAAAGUUGAAAACUUUAUUAUGCAUAAAUUUUUUUUUUAGUAAUAAUUAUUUUUUAAAAAAGUUAAAAUAAUUAAUUUUUUUAGAAUUUUUUAAAUAGAAGAGUUGUAGAGCUUUUUUUUAUCCUUAAAUAUUAUUUAAACAUCUUAUCUCAUUUUAAAUUCUUACAUUUAUUCUUUUUUUAUAUACUUUUUCCUCUUUUUUGUCUUCUUCUGCAUCCCUUCCUCGUACUAAAAAAACCUUAGUUCAUGUGAUUAAUAGUGUCCGAUUCUGUUAUGUCAUGUAAAAAGGACUAUUUAUAAUAUUCAUAUCGCAGAAAUAAAAUAUACAAAUUACCAACUAAUAUUGCGGCAUAAUGUGACCAUAAAAGAUUGACGAAAAUUUUAUGGCUGAAUUUUAAUGUCCUUCUAAACCGAAAUAUAUAUAUAUAAUAAGUUCGCUAAUCUUAAAUUCAUAAUUUAUUUUAUUAUAUUGUUGUGCAUAUGUAUUCGGUUUGGUUGUUUAGGUGGAUACAAAGUGGGCAGAUACAAAGUGGUGCAUUGUUAAUUUCUAUUUUUUUUAAGUAUAUUUUAGUAUCAAAGUAAAUUAUAUUUAUUUAUUUAUUUAUUUAUAUAUAUAAGUAUAACAGUCGUUUCUAUGAAUAACUGUGAAAUGCUAAAAAAUAUAUUUCGAAAAAUAUUAAGGUGUUAUGAUAAAGAAUUUUGAAGAUAUAUAGUUAAUUCUUUUUUAUGUUUUUAUUUAAGUUACAGUGUUAUCUUUACAUUGUAUUUUUUUUACAUACAUCAUUAUACUAAAAUGUAUAUAAACCCACCAACGAGCUUUAACGAAUCUUUUCAUAAUUGAUGAGUAAUUAAAUUUAAUAUUUAUAUCAAUUUUUUUUCCUAAUAUUCUAAUUAUCAUUGAUAACUAUUUUAUUUAAGUUUAGAGGCGAUUGUUGCACAGAGAAGUUGGUGCCAUUCUUCAGGUGAAGAUAUUUUCAACAUCAAAUUUAUUGAAAAUAUCAAAUUUAUUUAGACGUGAGUAUGAAGUUAGAUAUAUAAUUUUAAAUAUAUGUUCGAUUAUAUGUUCAAUAUUAUUUAAAAUAAUUACCAUAAUUUUUAUAGGUAAAAUUUUUCCUAAAAAUUGAUAUUGAUAACAUGUGAAAAUUUUAAAUUAAUUAUAUAUAUAUCAAGUUUACAUAAAGACGUAUGAUAGUAGGGAGACCAUAAAAUUCAAGUUAUUCGACAGACAUUUGAAAUAUAUAUUUUAUGGAAGAUUCAUCUGUCAAGUAUACGACGAUCCAGGUAUAAUUUAUGUAUUAGUUUUAUAUAAUUUUAUAUUAUAAAAUAUAUUUUAUAUGUUUGACUUAUAAUUCAGUUAAAUAGAUAGACAAUGCUAAAAUAUUAUUUAAAUGCAUUUAUUGACCGCCGCGUUCAUAUUCAUUGUUCUUGUGCCUCUAACAUUUGCAAGACCAUAUGUUUUAUCUUCGAUGUUUUAGGUUAUAAGAGUAGAUUUGUGUGAAUAAUAUGCACAUAUUAUAAAAAGAUCUCCAUAAUAACUCUUUUUAUAAUGUGUGCAUAUUCUUCACAUCAAUUUAUUCUCGUAACCUGAAUGUGAACACGCGGUCAAUAAAUGCACCUAAAUAAUUUUUUAGUAUUAUUUAUCCAUUUAUCUUAAAAUAUAAGUAAAUCAUAUAAAAUAUAUUUUAUAAUAAAACUAGUAUGUAAAAUAUACGUGGGUUGUCAUAUACUUAUACAUGGAUCUUUCAUAUAAAAUAUAUAUUUAAGAUGUCUGUCGAAUAACUUGAAUUUCAUGGUCUCAUUAUUAUCAUACGUUUUUAUGUAAACUUGAUAUACAUAAUUAAUGUAAAAUUUUCACAUGCUAUUAACAUCAAUAUCUUGGACACGCACAAUCAUUUGAAAAAAGUUUAUGUAUAAAUAAAUGGUAAUUAUUUUAAAUAAUAUUAUACAUAUAGUCGAACAUAUAUUUAAAAUUAUAUAUUCAACCCCUUCCUCAUGUCUGAAGUCAUGUAUCCAAAUUCGUUUGGUAUUUGAUAUUUUCAAUAAGUAUCUUGACCUAAAAAAUGACACAAACUUCUCGCACAAUAAUCACCCUUAAACCUAAAUAAAAUACUUAAAAUCAAUUAUAAUUAGAAUAUUAGAAAAAAUAUACAUUUUAGAGUUGAUGAUGUGUGAAAAAUAUAUCAACUUAUAAAAUUUUAGAAACAAUAAAUAUGUAAAUAAAAAAUUACAAUAUAAUUAAUGUAAUUUAAAUAAAAAUAUAAUAAAGAGUUAACUAUAUACCUUCGUAAUUUUUUAUCAUAACACCAUAUGCCCAUAGAGUAAUAUUUUUUUAAAAAAUAUUCUUUAGUAUUUCACCGUCAUCCAUGGCAUAUUUGAUGCGUAGAAUCAUAUGAACGACUGUUAUACUUAUAUUUAUUAUAAAGAAAAGUAAAGUAAAUAUAAUUUAGUACUAAAAAUAAAUAAAAAAAAAAUUAACAAUGUACAUUAUAUCAAGAAGAAUAAUUUAACGCAUGAGAUAAACCAUUCUUCGAUAAGUACCAAUCAUCCAUGUAAAUAAUCAAUUUGAAUACAUCUGCACAACAAUUUAAUAAAAUAAAUUAUGAAUUUAAGAUUAGUGAAUUGUUAUAUAUAUAUAUAUAUGUUAUAGUGGACAAUAUUGUGGAAUUCGUACAAAAAAUCUUCGUCAAUCUUCAAUGGUCACAUUAUGCCGCAAGAUUAGUUGAUAACGAUGAGGUACUAAUAUGUAUAUUUUAUUCGCUAUUAUCACUUAUGCAUUAUGAAUAUUAUAAAUAAUGUCUCGUGUAAUACAUGAACUCAAUUUGUCAAUAUUAAUCUUAUGAACUAUGCAUUGCAUGACAAAUUCCUACGGUGAAAAUUGUCAGUAAUAAACAAUUAUAAAUUAUGAAAAUAGAAAAAAUAUUAUCAAAAUCUUAGAUAUCAAACUGGGGUGAUUUUUAGUAAGAGAAAGAGAAUGCAAAAGACAGAAAAGAAAAAUGAGGAAAAGUACAUACGGAAGAAUAAAUGUAAAAUUUAAAAUUAAAUAUGUUUAAAUAA